Molecule: ribosomal RNA, 273 nt
Filed under: Salmonella enterica subsp. enterica serovar Kentucky
Lineage: Bacteria; Pseudomonadati; Pseudomonadota; Gammaproteobacteria; Enterobacterales; Enterobacteriaceae
Description: partial 16S ribosomal RNA
Rfam family: Bacterial small subunit ribosomal RNA
Source: RNAcentral
CGGGAACUCAAAGGAGACUGCCAGUGAUAAACUGGAGGAAGGUGGGGAUGACGUCAAGUCAUCAUGGCCCUUACGACCAGGGCUACACACGUGCUACAAUGGCGCAUACAAAGAGAAGCGACCUCGCGAGAGCAAGCGGACCUCAUAAAGUGCGUCGUAGUCCGGAUUGGAGUCUGCAACUCGACUCCAUGAAGUCGGAAUCGCUAGUAAUCGUGGAUCAGAAUGCCACGGUGAAUACGUUCCCGGGCCUUGUACACACCGCCCGUCACACCA